AUGACUCAACUUGAUGAUGAUCAACACAUAGAGAUGGAGGAAGUGGGCACUAGUCAUAUGGCCACUCUUAGCACAAUUGUAUCGGCUGAAUGUUCUGGUUCACAACCAUCUUCCAAGGAGCAAGUUCGUGGUUUAGAACCAACUUCUCAAGAGCAAUCUGCCAUUGGGGUCGUUGAUUUGGAGAAUGAGAAGGAUAGUAACAAAGGUCAGGGAAGGAGGGAGAUGGCACCACGAUCAAAGACGUGGGACCAUUUCGACAAGAUUAAGGAUAAGAAUAAUGUGGUGAAGGCUGGUAAAUGCAAAUAUUGCAAACGUGAAUUGAAGGCCGACACAAAGGAUCAUGGUACUUCAUCCUUGAUCAGACAUUUUGAUGUGUGCAAGCGCAACCCUCACAAGCUGGCCAAAGAUCCGUAG
Molecule: ribosomal RNA, 414 nt
Filed under: Triticum aestivum (bread wheat)
Lineage: Eukaryota; Viridiplantae; Streptophyta; Magnoliopsida; Poales; Poaceae
Description: partial small subunit ribosomal RNA
Source: RNAcentral